GACGAACGCUGGCGGCGUGCUUAACACAUGCAAGUCGAACGGAAAGGCCCUGCUUUUGUGGGGUGCUCGAGUGGCGAACGGGUGAGUAACACGUGAGUAACCUGCCCUUGACUUUGGGAUAACUUCAGGAAACUGGGGCUAAUACCGGCUAGGAGCUCCUGCUGCAUGGUGGGGGUUGGAAAGUUUCGGCGGUUGGGGAUGGACUCGCGGCUUAUCAGCUUGUUGGUGGGGUAGUGGCUUACCAAGGCUUCGACGGGUAGCCGGCCUGAGAGGGUGACCGGCGACAUUGGGACUGAGAUACGGCCCAGACUCCUACGGGAGGCAGCAGUGGGGAAUAUUGCACAAUGGGGGGAAGCCUGAUGCAGCAACGCCGCGUGCGGGGUGACGGCCUUCGGGUUGUAAACCGCUUUCGCCUGUGACGAAGCGUGAGUGACGGUAAUGGGUAAAGAAGCACCGGCUAACUACGUG
This 468-nucleotide ribosomal RNA is filed under the name uncultured bacterium. RNAcentral's name for it is "partial 16S ribosomal RNA". It matches the Rfam family "Bacterial small subunit ribosomal RNA", at positions 28 to 507 of the family's 1533-position model. The record is from RNAcentral.